GACGAACGCUGGCGGCGUGCCUAACACAUGCAAGUGGAGCGACGAACCAGGCUUCGGCCUGGGGCAAAGCCGCGAACGGGUGAGUAACACGUGGGUAACCUGCCCUGAUGAUUGGGACAACCCGAGGAAACUCGGGCUAAUACCAAAUGUGCCCUUCGGCCAUAAGGCCGCCGGGGAAAGGAAGCUUCGGCCUCCGCAUCUGGAUGGGCCCGCGGCCCAUUAGCUUGUUGGUGAGGUAACGGCUCACCAAGGCGACGAUGGGUAGCUGGUCUGAGAGGACGAUCAGCCACACUGGGACUGAGACACGGCCCAGACUCCUACGGGAGGCAGCAGUGGGGAAUCUUGCGCUAAUGCGCGAAAGCGUGACGCAGCGACGCCGCGUGGGGAUGAAGGCCUCGG
This 399-nucleotide ribosomal RNA is filed under the name uncultured bacterium. RNAcentral describes it as "bacterial SSU rRNA". It matches the Rfam family "Bacterial small subunit ribosomal RNA", at positions 28 to 420 of the family's 1533-position model. The record is from RNAcentral.